This 26-nucleotide ribosomal RNA is filed under the name Sphagnum angustifolium. RNAcentral describes it as "partial 25S ribosomal RNA". The record is from RNAcentral. Lineage: Eukaryota; Viridiplantae; Streptophyta; Sphagnopsida; Sphagnales; Sphagnaceae.
CUGACCUCAGAUCAGGCAAGAGCACC